RNA transcript from Dermacentor albipictus, 7562 nucleotides. It is a transcript of the gene named Pre-mRNA processing factor 4 kinase, with no coding region annotated. The record is from RefSeq and is a predicted model, not a curated record. Lineage: Eukaryota; Metazoa; Arthropoda; Arachnida; Ixodida; Ixodidae.
UUCGCGCUAACUAACGUGCCCGGGUCUAAAACGUGAGGGCCGCAGGGGCCACAACCAGGGUACGCAAAGGUUUGCCAGGCUUGGGAAUGGUCAGAUUUUGAAGCAGUAUUGGCCGUAUUGGCAGUGUUCUACGGCUAUGAUCAAAGGACAUAUUUCGGCGGUCGGCGGCUCGGCCGCCUAGUGUCUCUACAUUUGGCUACGGGGACGGCUUCUCACGCGCUGUGACAUCAACAGCCGCUGUUCGUCGAAUGUUUUUAGAGGGCCAGCUCGCUGGGUUGCUUUGUGAACUGCGCAAGUGAUUAAUUUUCGUUAUCGUAAAGACGUGCAGUGCGAAGAAUGGCGAAGUCUUGCGUUCAGAGCACCGUCCUCAGCCUGGAUACAACACAAGACGUGAAAAACGGCGAUUUUAGUGAUGAGCCGAUUACAGAAACCACUCGAAAAGAAGUUAAGGAGGGAGGUAGCAAGCACAAAAAACGGAAGCACAAGCACAAGCAUAAGCACCAUCACAGUUCCAAGGACAAGAAGCGCAAGUCGAGUGGUGAUAAAGGAGCCCCACCUUUAGACACGGCAACCGGUCAAGACACCCUUCAAGUUAGCAACAUGAACCUUGAAGAGUUGGAAGAGCAGAAGGCAAUUUUACAGGCGAAGCUUUAUACGCUUGUCCCAAGUGACUAUGGAAGCUCAGAUGAAGAUGUUCACAAAGGCAAAAAGACCAAGUUGUCUAGUAGAAGCCAGGACAGUAGCAGCAAGAAACAUUCACGAACAUCUUCUCUAGACCACAAAGCUGAUCGAGAGGGAAAAAAUCGAGAACAUUCUCAUUCUCGCAGUGAUCACCAUAAAGAAAGGGAUGGCUCUCCUCGCUCAAGCAGGAAGGCGCACACUGAAAAGGCUCAGCAGGAUGCUUCCAGUCCAAACCAAAAACGGUCCAUGCAGAGGAAGGAAAGUCCUUCUUCACGACACCGGAAGAGCCCAAAGAAAAGCCCCUCAAGGCGAAGCUCUCCGUCCCGCAAGUCACCAUCACGGAAAUUGUCACCGAGUCGAAGAACCUCACCCAGUCGCAGGGUUUCUCCUGGUCGUAAGGGGAUGUCUCCAGUCCGCAGGUGCUCUCCGAUGCGAAAGGGAUCCCCUUCACGAAGGGCUUCAUCUCCAAGGAGAGUGUCUCCUUCACACAGGGUGUCGCCUCGAAAGAUGUCCCCUUCACGUAAACUUUCACCUACUCGAAGAGCUUCACCAUCUCGGAGAAUGUCGCCAGAUCGCAGGGCAUCGCCAUUUCGAAGAUCACUUUCACGAAAAAGAUCCCCAUCACGAAAAAUUUCACCUAUUCGGAAAAGCUCACCUUGCAGGAAAACAUCACCAUUGAGGAAAUUGUCACCGCCACGCUAUCGAGGACCAGAGCUUGAUCGACGGCGCUCAUUAUCACCGAGGCGUGCGGGUGAUCGACAUGCUCCCAGAAGUCCUUCACCUAGACGUGCAGCUCCUCGGCGGCUAUCACCGCCCAGGAACAGUGGCCGGGAAGCUAGCAGGGAAGCAAACCGAGAUGUCCGGCGGGACAGCCGGGAAGCUGUGCGGGAACGAAGCCCGCGACGACCGAGACCCCGUAGCCCACUGCGGCGCAGAACUGGACACUCGCGUAGCCCCCGCAGAGGAGAUCCUCGGACAUUGACUCGACGAAGUCGCUCUCCUCAUGGCAUGAGCAGAAAUGAUGAACGAUCUAGACACAAUCGGGAUCACUGGGAUCGUAGAGAUGACAAAGGCCGGCAUGCAAACAGCUCAAGAAAGAAGCCAAAAUCACCUUCCUCUUCAUCUGAUGAGAUUGAGGACAUCGAAAUCGAGGAGGAUGAAGAUGAGGAGAAGGUGAUUGAACGGCAACGUCAGCAACGACAGGAACUGCUUAAGAGGUUGGGUGUUGAGAACCAAGUUGAAAGCAGUGGAUUUUCAUCUCCAGUGCAUUCACGUGGUAGUGGGACCCACACUCCGGAUUCUGUGACUAUUGAUAACAUGGCCUCGGACAUUAAUGAAAACAGUGAAGACACAACUGAUUUUGAGGCUGCCAUAAUGGCCAAGCGGCAAAUGAUGGUUCAAGAAGGCAACAAUGAAUCGGACACAGGUCAAGAAAAAAAGAAGCAGUUGGAUAUGUUCUCGGAGGACAUGUUUGCUGAGAAUUAUUCUAGUCCCAACUCAUUUCAGAAGAUAUCAUCACGAGCUCAAGAAAAUCCCAACCUUACCGACAACUGGGAUGAUGCAGAGGGCUAUUAUCGUGUCCGGAUAGGUGAAGUACUGGACACGCGAUACACUGUUUAUGGCUACACGGGUCAAGGAGUCUUCAGCAAUGUGGUGCGAGCAAGGGACAUGGCACGAGGAAAUCAGGAUGUUGCUGUGAAGAUUAUACGGAACAAUGAAGUCAUGCACCGUACAGGGCUGAAGGAACUCGAAAUGCUGAGACGUCUCAAUGAUGCUGACCCUGAUGACAAGUUCCAUUGUCUUCGGCUGUUCAGGCAUUUCUUUCACAAACAACAUCUGUGCCUUGUUUUUGAGCCACUAAGCAUGAACCUUAGAGAGGUGCUGAAGAAGUAUGGCAAAGAUGUUGGUUUGCAUAUAAAGGCUGUGCGGUCCUAUAGUCAGCAGCUGUUUUUUGCCCUCAAACUUCUGAAAAGAUGCAACAUCCUGCAUGCUGACAUCAAGCCGGACAAUAUUUUGGUAAAUGAGACAAAGCUGGUCUUAAAGCUAUGCGAUUUUGGCUCGGCUUCUCACGUGGCCGAAAAUGACAUCACACCUUAUCUUGUCAGCAGGUUUUAUCGGGCACCAGAAAUAGUUCUUGGCCUGGGCUAUGACUUUGGUAUUGACAUGUGGAGUGUUGGAUGCACAUUGUACGAGCUUUACACGGGAAAGAUAAUGUUUCCUGGAAAAUCCAACAACCAGAUGCUCAAAUUCUGUAUGGAUCUCAAAGGAAAGUUUCCUAAUCGUCUUAUUCGAAAAGGAAUCUUCAGAGACCAGCAUUUUGAUGCAAACUGCAACUUUCUCUACCAUGAAGUUGACAAAGUCACAGAGAGGGAGAAAGUGGUGGUCAUGACAAACAUCAAUCAGACACGUGACUUAUCCAGUGAGUUAAUUGGACGGCAGCGGCUGCCAGAGGAUCAAGUCAAGAAAGUAGGCCAGCUGAAGGAUCUUCUGGAGAAGACUUUGAUGCUGGACCCUGUGAAACGGAUAUCGAUCAAUCAUGCCCUCGCCCACCCAUUCAUACAUGACAAGAUUUGAGUGGCAUUGGAUCUUUCCGAAGUUUGUUGGUCAGAGGACUGAAGGAAUUUUCAAGCAUGUUAUGUGGAAACAAGUGUGUGUGGCAGCUCCCGUUGCUUGCCAAUAUGUUGAGAACUGAUAGACGCUUUGGACUGCCUUCUGACAGGUGAAGUCCAAGGUGCAAGGACAGGAUUCUCCUGGCAUGAUUGGUUACCCAUUGUACUAACUGUGUUGACUCUAACUACCAUGAGUCCAAAGGCCAGGUUGAGUCUGGGGCAUUGGCGAAGGAAUUUCCGAAGGCCUCUCAUCGUUUCAGCGCGCUGGAAACUACACAGCAGAGAAGCCAAGAGGGCAAAGCUCCAGCCAAAUGUUCAGUGUCAUGGUGGUGAAAAGGCCCGUUGCGGCACCCCGUGGCAGCCUCAGUAGAGUACGCUACGCAGCACGCUGCUGCCAUCUCGGAGGCCACCUGGAGCAGGCACAGCUACGCGGAGUGCAAAGAUGAAAUGAUUCUUUUAUCUCUUCGAGAUCGCAUGCAUUUAUAUUUUUCAUUUAUUUAACUAAAGAUUAUCCAUUAUGUAUUAGUGAGAAUGCUCUCGUGAUCACGAAAUCAGCCAAAUAGUGUUGGUUGGCCAGCGGCUUUCAAUCAGCUUUCGAUGAUAUCGCGUACAUGAGAGCAAGCGUCUGUUCACUGCUUUUGACAUGUUUGUAAAUUCCCUGCUGUAUGCAGUGCAAUAAUAUUUGGCUCACAUUUUCACAGGAGCCUUGUUAACAAAUUGGCAGCCUUUUUUUACUAGUUUCAAAAAGUGCUUCAGUGCCCCUUUAACCUGCUCAGAUGAUGACUGGGUUAUUCUUGAAAUCAUUGGUAAAAUAACUUCUACGCUUCAUGGUUGAACUGUAUUUAGUUUUGCCAUCAUCCUUUUCCAAGUAACAACUGGCUCAUUGAACUUGCGCCUUUUGUAUAGAGUGGUGCAGCAGUCUUUACAGGUCUCUGCUGUACCACGUUGUUAGGUACUGCAACUCUCGGAUGUCGCAGUUCUCUCUUUUCUUGAUUUAGCAUUUUUACUUAUAAAGGCAACAUUUAUUUCUGAGAAGCCUGUCAUGAGACAGCAAAACAGAUUGAACCUCUUCCUGUGAGUUUUAUAUAUGAUUUGGAGCAAGUGAAUUCUAGAGUACUGAAUGAGCUUCAACUUAGUUGUUUUGGAGGGGAAGACUUUUAAGGUUGCUUUUAAUUAGUACUGUAUAGAAGUCUUGCAUAGCCUCACCACCUUACAGCAUAUGUUCACUAGACAAUGUAUUGUUAAGAAUGUUCCCCCAAGCUUGUUUUUCCACACUUGGAAUAUUUAAAGGGGCCUUGAACCACUUUUUAUUGAAGUCGAGAAAUGCAUGUGAAGUUAAAAUAGGCUUAUUUCAGAAAUACUUUGCCACAAUAAGUACUUCAAUGCAUUCAGCAGAAGCGGAAUUAUUUGCAAUGAAAUAUGAAUGAUUUUCAGAUAAGACCAAACACAAGGGUGGCUGGUGAAUAUUAUUAAGUUCUUUGGUAUUGUUUUGUCAUUGCCUGAUGUAUAGAGUACAUGGAUUCAAGUUUAGUUUUGCUUGGGAAAAAUAUGCAGCUUUUAAAUAAACAUUAGACCACAAGAAGGUGAAGAAUCGCAUCUGUGGAUUCUGCUGAUUUUGUUGUUUGACAAUUUAUUAUGGCAAGAUGUUUGAACUUUUAUUAGCAAGUCUCUGCAUGCAUCCCAGUUCAACAUAUCAUUAAAGGCAGGUGUUGACACACAUCAUUUUAUGCCAGGUAUCUCUGGUACACAGAAGUUUCAGGGGUAGCAUGUGCCUGUUGCGCCCCCUUUCUGGCUAUGCCCCUGGUCAUUGCCGACACUGCACCGGAUGGAAGGCCUUGAAAGCUGCAGGGGAGGGCAGGUCAUCCGUUCCUUGCUUCAUGCAGAGAAAUAAUAUUGGGCUUGCAUGUUCGCAACAGCAUAUUUGGCUUGCCUGUUCAGAUCAGGGGCAUUUUUUCAAAGAAGGACAUGGCUUCCAGGAAAAACAUGCAAUUUACUCUAGACACCUAAAAUUUUCAGCAAAAUAUUCGAUUUUUUGUACUGAUCGCAAAUAUGCAGUUAGCUUUUUUCUAAGUCAAUCCUAUAAAAAGUAAACAAAUUCUUGAGUUACAAAUUUGGGAAGUGAGUUGCAAAAAGUGGGCUGCAGCAAGAGAGUUAAAAUUAAGCAGGUACAUUUCUGAAUGUCUAAAAAGAGCAGCUGGACAUUUUAACACUGUGAUGUCCAAAGUAUCUUAUAUGCUACGCAGAGUUUAACACCUCAAAAUGGGGAUUUAAGUGCCGGAAACUUAAAGCAAAGCUAAUAGUUGCAUUAUGAACAUGCUGGAGGUGAAGUUUCAAUUUUUAAUAGUUUAACAAGCUAAUUACUAAAUUAACAUUUAGUACAGUAAUUAGGUCAUGGCUGAAAAAAACAUUCUUUGAUUUUCUUCUGCAAAUGUACUCUCCAUGGCCAGAAGUAAAUGUGCACAAUUAGUUCCAGUUUUUUAAAAUGUGGGACUGUGUUUGGGCAUUACAGGGUUAAUGUUUGUAUCUAUAUUUUAGACGAAGUUAUGAAAUUCUAAAGUUGCAGAUUGCAAGUGAAUUUUUUUCUUGAAGUUCAGGGUGUGAACUAUAAAGGGGAAAAAAUUUACAGGUACGGAAAAGAGCGUCUUUUGUCCUAACAGACAAAAGAGCAUCCUGACAGGCAAAGAGCAUUCUGACAGGCAGAGAAAAGAUGCUCAAUUUUUUUAGAAAAACACAAAAAUCUAAGAGUGGUAAAAUAUACAUUUAAAGCUAUAAAAUGAGGUAGCUUUCUUCUGAAGCAGCAUUGAAGGAUCAUUUUUGAUGGGAAAGCUAGCCAGAAAGAUGCUUUUUCAAACGGGACCCACAUGGCCUGGCUCUGAUAAGGGGUUUUAGAAUGGCAAAUGGUGCAAAAGGGGUCAUUUUCAGUGCUUUCAAGGCCAUAUAAAGUAUAAAGUUUUUUCCUCAAUGGCGUGUCAUUUCAAGCUAGUUAAUUGCCAGCAGGUGUGCUACGAUAUGUAGAUGAAAAAAUAACAAAUGAAAAGUAGAUCUUUUUGUUUUUGUUUCCAAGACCCAUGUCCCCCCUUAAUAGGCAUCAGAAGAUGGCAGCACCCUUUCUUUACAUUCGUAUUGUCAUAUGCUUGUAGCAGAUAUGAAAUGUUUAGGUAAUUUUUACUUUCAUGUAGAACAUGGAAAGCAAGGAACAUGGUACGAGAGUUUAAAAACUCUAGUUUGCAGACGUUGGAACGAACAUGCAAAGUUAGAAAAAAAGCCUUCUGUAGGUCAUGUCUGAAAAUAACCUUUCUUCAGUGUAGACACCCUACAGCCUUAGGAAUUAGUUCCCUAAUUGGGAUACGUGCAUAUAGUCUUAUUCUAAUAAGAGUUCCAAACAUCUCAUCAGAACAAUUGUUUUCAGACGUGUGAUGUGAACAAAACUAUCAGUAUGCGUAAAUGCAACACUGCCUUCUAAUGGCCUACAAGCUAUUAAAGAUAGUCAUUUUUUUAGCAUUAGUGAAUUAGCCAAUAAAAUAUAAAUAUCAAGCAAAUUAAAAAUGUAGACCUGCCAUUCUAUGUUAUCUAUAAUCACCCACAUACUUAGCCUGAUUUUUAUGUAAUCUUUUGAGCAAAGUAUAUUGCUGACACUGAUGUCUAUGGGGUAUUGACAGUAAGUGGUGUACAAGGUAAAUUGUCACCUACUUAUGCUCAAGGGCAUGUUCAUUAUCUUAUAUGUAACGUAGUUCUAGUUUCUGUUGCCAGUUUUUACCCAAGAACUGUGCAAUCACCAUAUGUGGUAUUCUCAGCUGAUUAUGAGGAGUGACAUUCAAUAACUCUAUUUUAUUUUUCAUUUUAGGCAAACUGGCUUUCUUGAGUGGCUCGAGCAAAAGGGUAACAUUUGAAAUGCUUUCUUUUUUUCCUCGCUGGAUGCAACUGGAGCGGAUGGAAGAUUAAAAAGAAUCACGGCUCUGUGUUAAAAAAAUGUUCUGCAUUCAUUGCUGUGACCUGCAGCAGAAAUAUUACAGCAACCAUACAUAUUUUCGUUCGUGGAUAUAUUGAAUAUAUUGAAAUGCCCCAUAAUUAUCUAAUUGUCCCAGUAGCCUGAUAUCAGGGUACUAGGACAGGUUCAUAUUUUAUUAAUGCAGUGCCAAGUAAUUGUCGAAGCACCUAGCCAGCUACUGGUUUUCAUGAAAACAAUGGUGUACUACAUUAAGACAAGUAACACAUUCUCUCAAUUUUGGCUAAUGACCAGCAGGAAUGGUGCAUCACAAACAUAGGGGCAGA